CCAAUAUUUACAUAUCGGGACUAGACUAUGUCUUAAGCCUAAAAGGCCCACUAUCAUAUAGUCGUUGAGCAAUUCCUAUAAAUUAAUAUAGGAUUCGUUGCAAGUUAUCCAAAUAAUCACAUUUUGACAUUAUGUAAUGAUUAUAUAAAGAUUUUCUUGCAAUUUGAUAAUGUUGCAUAUAAACAUAUGUUAUAUACUAGCAGAUGGCUUAACUGCUUUUUAACCCUUUU
Molecule: non-coding RNA, 230 nt
Filed under: Klosneuvirus KNV1
Lineage: Varidnaviria; Bamfordvirae; Nucleocytoviricota; Megaviricetes; Imitervirales; Mimiviridae
Source: RNAcentral